GGCGGUGGCUGGUGACUGGCAUUUGAGACGGGGGAUAUAGUAUUGUAUAAAUCAGCAGAAAACCCAACAACAACAUGAGCGAACGGGCACAAAAAAUAAUAAACCUUAAUUCGAAGCUUGAAGCUUGAUUCAUUCAUAUUACACCCCACCCAGAGCACAGCCCAGAGGGGUGGAUGUGGACGGAACGUGGGGGCAGUAACAGUCUCGGACCCAAUUGAGCUAUGAAAACCGAUCAAACGUCGUCGUCGAGCCCACAAUCGAAAAUUGUUGCCAGGCACGAGAGCAAUGACAUGCCAUGCCAUGCCAAAAACAACAAGAGAGAGAGAGAACCCGAUCUGAAAACCAAAACUAAACCCAAUCACCACCAAUCGACCGUUUCUCGGGCGAAAAAUGCCACAGAAAGUCGUGCACUGGCAAUAAUCAUCGUUUGGAGGAGGAAGAAAGGAUGGAUCCCGUACUAGUACUUAGUACCAGCAGCAGUACCAGUGCCAGUACCGGAGCCUGAUUCGGCAGCGUUUGCUCUUCUCUGACUCUAUUUUGUCGGCGAACAUGGAUCUAGUGCACGGUUGUUCAUGAUUAAGUUCGUGACUAGAUUUCAUGCUCGUCUAUUAAGUUGGGUCAACACAACGAACCGAAAGAGCAGAGCAACGCAGUUGUCGAAAAUUGCACCACAGCUGCACUGCUGCCAACACUCCCCCAGGAGAAACUUUGGGUUCGGUCGGGUUGGUUUGGGUGGGUCUUGGGCAAUUAGCAGACGCAUUAAUUAUGGGAACGAUAUUCUCAUAUAGUUUGACGGGAUUGGAUUCGGUAUUGCAUGAUUGACCCGUGACCCACAUAAUGGCACACGCCCCGCAGCAGCUUAUUCAAUGAGGGCGUGUAAGUUGGACGAAACAGAAGAAGAAAAAAAAACGAGUCAAUGGCCUUUAACCGAUGACUGUAGUAAGUCGCUGGCUCAGCAGCGGCAGCUCACACGCCCCUCGAGCGCCCAGCAGCAGCCCGCAUCUCGCGUCCCGUGGACAGUAGCAUAGCUUGACGCUGGGAUCGCUGAUUUGUGUGUUGUGUGUGCCUUUUUAUCGGUACUGUGACAGAGCUGCAGAGUGGAGUGUCAGGCAACAGCUAGUGACAGCAGCAGCAGCAGCGGCCCACCAAUUUAUGGGCUAGUCGCACGCGAUUAAAAAAAAUCGAAUGCGCGCUCGGCCUGGGUUGACAAAAACAAAUGGAAAAUGCAAUGCAAUGGAGGGAGAGUGGCUGUAGGAGCCAGCAUUCGCCAUUCGGCGUGUGAAAAUCCAACAGGGCUGACUUGACUGUGUUUGCUAAGGCUGUGGCGCCUGCGGGUAAGUGUUGCCAUCCAUGGAGAGUAACGGUGCUUGUUGUUUUGUGACCAGACCAGCGUUACCAGGCAGCAGCAACCAAGCCAACGACGAUGACUAUUGCGUGGGCGUCUAACUGUAACACCUGCUGCUGCUACUGCUUCGGUCGCUGCUGCCUAAUACCAACUUUUGCUAUUAAAUUAACAUUUCUCUGCACUCCCUCUCUCUUUCUCUCUCUCUCGCUCUUUCCAAUUUUAAUUUCAGCUAAAGGAAUGAACGAAUGAAGCCGGAACACCUUUCAACCCAGGUUCAUUGUUAUUGCUGCUACUGCUGCUUCACGCUUAUUUAAGUGCCAACGCACCAGAGAGAGCGAGAGAUAGAGGGAAAAGAGAGUCGAGUCUACUUUACAUAUUUUCUAAAUGAAUGCUGUUUGUUUUUUUUUUUCCUGUAUGAUUAUUUGUAGGUACAGACACAGGGCUGUAUCCAUGGAGUUUCAACCCCGGCCAAGAAGAGCAUUGAAUUGCAACGGUUGCAGUGGAAACUGAUGACUUUCUGGCCUGGCUUUCCCUGCACUGAAUUGCACUUCCUCCCAGCCAGUCAGGCAGCAUCAAGUUGGCAAUCAGGAACAACGACCAGAAUUCGCCUCGUCAAACGCUGAAACUAAUUGAUAUAAUAGUUAAAAUAACAAACUAACGAGAAAGAACCUGGUGGGCAGCGCGGUGGUAGAAGCAAAAGAGGUUGAACUGCAUCGCACCAACAGCAGACAGAGCGGACAGAGCAGAGCGCGGCGUUGGUGAAGUGCAAAACCUUUCCAAUUUGAAAAUAGUUUUCCUGCUAUGUGUGCUCGUUCCCACAAACAGAAAUACCAACAACAGCAGCAGCCAGCAGCAGCAGCAGUCAGAACAAGCACAGCAGCAACAAUGCCUGCACUUUACAACGACGCCAUUGGGCAGAGGAGGAGAGGAAAAACAACAACAACUACAAGAAGCAGACGGAGAAGAAGGAGCUGCAGCGGCAAGCGGUGGAUUGGAUCGGAUCGGGAAAAGUAGAAGCAACAGCAAUCGGUGGAGCGGGAGUAGCAGAACCACCAGCAAGCGAUGAUUGGGGAAAAGGAAGGAGCCAGAGCCUCAGCUGGAUAGGAGGGGGACUGGGAUGGUGGGGGAUACUCGUAGUCAGCAAAGAUGACAAUGCAGCGAUUAAAGCAAUGCAGUACGAAGAAGAGAUGCGGCGGAACAACUUGAACUCUCUAGUUGCUGUCGAUGCCUCAGCGACAGCAGAAGCAGCUGGAAAAAUGUUUACCCCAAUCCCCAAUGCGCGGCAUUUCCGUUUGCCAGCGGAGGGGGGAGGAUGCGGCAGCCGAUGCUGAUGCACUUUGCAAUCGGCACUGCAAUGUGCAAUGUUCUGACGGCAAAGAAAAAAUAAUCAC
RNAcentral lists this long non-coding RNA (2736 nucleotides) under Drosophila guanche. The record is from RNAcentral. Lineage: Eukaryota; Metazoa; Arthropoda; Insecta; Diptera; Drosophilidae.